GCGCGAAAACUUUACAAUGCUGGCAACAGCGAUAAGGGAACCUCGAGUGCCAGGUUACAAAUCUGGCUGUCGUGAUGCCUAAAAAGCAUUGCAUAGCAAGGGCCGGGCAAGACCGGUGCCAGCCGCCGCGGUAACACCGGCGGCUCGAGUGGUAACCGUUAUUAUUGGGUCUAAAGGGUCUGUAGCCGGCCGGAUAAGUCUCUUGGGAAAUCUGGCAGCUUAACUGUCAGGCUUUCAGGAGAUACUGUCUGGCUCGAGGCCGGGAGAGGUGAGAGGUACUUCAGGGGUAGGGGUGAAAUCUUGUAAUCCUUGAAGGACCACCAGUGGCGAAGGCGUCUCACCAGAACGGACCUGACGGCAAGGGGCGAAAGCUAGGGGCACGAACC
Molecule: ribosomal RNA, 386 nt
Filed under: uncultured prokaryote
Description: bacterial SSU rRNA
Rfam family: Archaeal small subunit ribosomal RNA
Source: RNAcentral